RNAcentral lists this ribosomal RNA (500 nucleotides) under uncultured bacterium. RNAcentral's name for it is "partial 16S ribosomal RNA". It matches the Rfam family "Bacterial small subunit ribosomal RNA", at positions 30 to 523 of the family's 1533-position model. The record is from RNAcentral.
AUUGAACGCUGGCGGCAUGCCUUACACAUGCAAGUCGAACGGCAGCACGGGAGCAAUCCUGGUGGCGAGUGGCGAACGGGUGAGUAAAGUAUCGGAACGUGCCCAGUCGUGGGGGAUAACGUAGCGAAAGUUACGCUAAUACUGCAUACGAUCUAUGGAUGAAAGCGGGGGAUCGCAAGACCUCGCGCGAUUGGAGCGGCCGAUAUCAGAUUAGGUAGUUGGUGGGGUAAAGGCGCACCAAGCCGAAGAUCUGUAGCUGGUCUGAGAGGACGACCAGCCAAACUGGGACUGAGACACGGCCCAGACUCCUACGGGAGGCAGCAGUGGGGAAGUUUGGACAAUGGGCGAAAGCCUGAUCCAGCCAUGCCGCGUGCAGGAUGAAGGCCUUCGGGUUGUAAACUGCUUUUGUACGGAACGAAAAGGUUUGGCCUAAUAAGCUGAGCUCAUGACGGUACCGUAAGAAUAAGCACCGGCUAACUACGUGCCAGCAGCCGCAGUAA